GUGGCUAAACUAGAAAAGCACUUCACUUACACCGAAAAGGUAUCCGUGCAAAUCGGAUCACUCUGAUACUUAAGAGCUAGCUACACAUAAUAUACAAUAAAUAAUUAUCAACAUAUGUUAACGUAAUAACAAAUGAAAUUAAACCAUUUUCCAUGUCAUAGUAUUGGUGAUAGAAAAAGAAAAUUAAGCCACAGAUCAAGUACCGCAAGGGAAUGCUGAAAAAGAAGUGAAAUAACUCAGUAAAGUAUAAUAAAGCAGAGCUAAAAACUCGUACCUUUAGCAUCAUGAUUUAGCAAGUAUAAUUAAGCAAAAUGUUUUCUAGUUUACCAUCCCGAAACUUGGUGAGCUACUCCGAAGCAGCCUAUUAUAGGGCAAACACGUCUCUGUAGCAAAAGAGUGUGAAGACUUCUGAGUAGAGGUGACAGACCUAUCGAACCAAGUUAUAGCUGGUUGCCUGAGAAUUAAAUAGAAGUUUAGCCUCUUAUUUUCUAAGUUUAACUUUGACUUUUCAUCAAAAAAUGACAGAAUAUUAAAGAGUUACUCAUAAGGGGUUCAGCCCUUAUGAAAAAGGAUACAACCUUAUUCAGGCGGUUAAUGAACAUAUUUUAUAAAGUUAAUGUUUUAGUGGACUUAAAAGCAGUCACCUACAGAAAAAGCGUUAAAGC
This 665-nucleotide ribosomal RNA is filed under the name Nothobranchius hengstleri. RNAcentral's name for it is "partial 16S ribosomal RNA". The stretch from base 253 to 665 matches the Rfam family "Bacterial large subunit ribosomal RNA", at positions 568 to 1141 of the family's 2925-position model. Lineage: Eukaryota; Metazoa; Chordata; Actinopteri; Cyprinodontiformes; Nothobranchiidae. The record is from RNAcentral.